UCCUACGGGAGGCAGCAGCAGGGAAUAUUGCGCAAUGAGCGAAAGCUUGACGCAGCGACACCGCGUGUGGGAUGACGGAUCUAGGUUUGUAAACCACUUUCAGGAGGGAAGAAAAUGACGGUACCUCCACAAGAAGCCCCGGCCAACUACGUGCCAGCAGCCGCGGUAAUACGUAGGGGGCGAGCGUUGUCCGGAUUUAUUGGGCGUAAAGAGCUCGUAGGCGGUUCAACAAGUCGGUCGUGAAAGUUCAGGGCUCAACCCUGAAAUGUCGAUCGAUACUGUUGUGACUAGGAUACGGUAGAGGUGAGUGGAAUUCCGAGUGUAGCGGUGAAAUGCGUAGAUAUUCGGAGGAACACCAAUAGCGAAGGCAGCUCACUGGGCCGCUAUCGACGCUGAGGAGCGAAAGCUAGGGGAGCAAACAGGAUUAGAUACCCUGGUAGUCCUAGCUGUAAACGAUGGAUACUAGACGUAGGAACUGGAUUGACGGUUUCUGUGUCGCAGCUAACGCGUUAAGUAUCCCGCCUGGGGAGUACGGUCGCAAGACUAAAACUCA
This 553-nucleotide ribosomal RNA is filed under the name uncultured bacterium. RNAcentral's name for it is "bacterial SSU rRNA". It matches the Rfam family "Bacterial small subunit ribosomal RNA", at positions 337 to 903 of the family's 1533-position model. The record is from RNAcentral.